GAUGAACGCUGGCGGCGUGCCUAAUACAUGCAAGUCGAGCGAACGGACGAGAAGCUUGCUUCUCUGAUGUUAGCGGCGGACGGGUGAGUAACACGUGGAUAACCUACCUAUAAGACUGGGAUAACUUCGGGAAACCGGAGCUAAUACCGGAUAAUAUUUUGAACCGCAUGGUUCAAAAGUGAAAGACGGUCUUGCUGUCACUUAUAGAUGGAUCCGCGCUGCAUUAGCUAGUUGGUAAGGUAACGGCUUACCAAGGCAACGAUGCAUAGCCGACCUGAGAGGGUGAUCGGCCACACUGGGACUGAGACACGGUCCAGACUCCUACGGGAGGCAGCAGUAGGGAAUCUUCCGCAAUGGGCGAAAGCCUGACGGAGCAACGCCGCGUGAGUGAUGAAGGUCUUCGGAUCGUAAAACUCUGUUAUUAGGGAAGAACAUAUGUGUAAGUAACUGUGCACAUCUUGACGGUACCUAAUCAGAAAGCCACGGCUAACUACGUG
This 497-nucleotide ribosomal RNA is filed under the name uncultured bacterium. RNAcentral's name for it is "partial 16S ribosomal RNA". It matches the Rfam family "Bacterial small subunit ribosomal RNA", at positions 28 to 507 of the family's 1533-position model. The record is from RNAcentral.